RNAcentral lists this transfer RNA (66 nucleotides) under Gnathostomula armata. RNAcentral's name for it is "tRNA-His". The record is from RNAcentral. Lineage: Eukaryota; Metazoa; Gnathostomulida; Bursovaginoidea; Gnathostomulidae.
UUUAGUUUAAUUACUAAAAUAUAGGCUUGUGGAACCUAAGAAAAGAUAUUUUUUUCUUGACUUGUU